Sesamum indicum (sesame) is the source of this 581-nucleotide non-coding RNA. NCBI's taxonomy places the organism in Eukaryota, Viridiplantae, Streptophyta, Magnoliopsida, Lamiales, Pedaliaceae. The record is from RefSeq and is a predicted model, not a curated record.
GAAAACCAUGUAUAUCUUCAUUUUGAUUAGUGACUCUUCGUCUACUUGAGGAGCAGAAAGUAACAUUAUGUUUGCUGAUCAAUUUGCCUACUUCAUCUCUUAAUGCAUAUAUGUGAUCCACUGCUAGCUGACCGCCAUCCUUCCACUCUCUCUUACUCUUAUUUGAACUUGAGUUUUAAGUAUCUUAAUAUUCUCUUGGGACUGUGAUGGAACUUCUUUAUAUGUGAUCCGCUGAAAGCUCAGUGCCACCAUCCAUCUCUUACUCUUAAUUUAACUCGACUUUUAGUAUCUUAAUAUUCUCUUGGGACUGUGAUGAAACUUCCUAAACCAAUUAAUGGACCAGCAGAAUAUUUUCUCUCAAGUGCCAUCUAGAAAGAUGAUCUUGCACCAGCUUUCAAUUCAACUCGGGUUCAAGUACCUCGGAGUAGGAGCCCUCUUGCACCAGCUACCAUCUAUGUAAAAAGUUUAUUGUAAAUAAGAAUUAAGUGUGUUCGGUAGUACUUUUGCCUUCUUUGUAGUAUGUGGAAAAUUGUUGCUCUGCCCAACAAGGUCCGGCUUAUUCUUAGCCAGAGAAAUAAAAG